Molecule: long non-coding RNA, 1012 nt
Filed under: Macaca mulatta (Rhesus monkey)
Lineage: Eukaryota; Metazoa; Chordata; Mammalia; Primates; Cercopithecidae
Description: lncRNA (ENSMMUG00000063795.1)
Source: RNAcentral
UGAUUGGUGUCCUUAUAAGAAGAGGAGAUCAGGGCACAACGCACAGACAGCGGGGACCACGUGAAGACACAGGGAGAAGGCCGCAUCUACAAGCCAAGGAGAGACCAACCCCGUCGGCCCCUGAUCUCAGACUUGUGGCCUCCAGCACUGCUGCUCAGCCACCCCAACUGUUCCCUCAUGACGGCAGCCCCAGCAGAUGAAUAGCCUGCGUUGUGCAGGCUGACAGGGAAGAGGCAAUGAGGAGAGAGGGAGGCUCCUGCUCUUCUCCCUGGCCACGGAUGACUGAAUCAAGGGAUCCCGAUCAAGCAGAACCCCUCAAAGGUCUUUUGGGGCCUGGUGCGGAAACCUGUGCUUACUGCAGAAUGUGGAAUUGAGACAUGGAGGCUGCACCAUUGGGUGAGGGCGGCUGGUGCUGAGGGCAAGGGCCAGGCCAAGUCACAGUCACUUGUAAGUCAGAAUCCGGGGUUGGGGGGCAGGGGCUGGGGGUAAACUGAGGAAGCUAGGCGGCAGAGGAAAGACAGUGAGGGGGACAAACAGGGUAGAGAGAGACCCUGCUCCUGAGGACGGGCUGGUUUCCAUCAGGUCCUCACUUGUGAGACCCCCUGGGUGACUUCACAGCAAACCUUCCCUUGUACCCGAGCUGCUGGAGGGGCCUCUGUUCCUACCAGCGGAAACUCCAGGCCAUGUCUCCUGGACUGACCUUGAGCUCCUCAAGGGCAGGGAUUGUGCCUUACUCAACUUUCAUUCCUUGCAGCACACCAACAGGGUAGGGACCGUGCUUGUAUGAGUGUGUGUGUGUGGAGAGAGUAUGUGUGAGUGUGAGAGUGUGUGUGACAGGUGACAGCGUGUGUGUAAUUUUUAUCUCUCUAGUAGCAGAUGGAGGCCAGAGCUACCUGCCUUGGAAAUACUGUGUAUUUGAGCUGUACUCCUGUGUGUGCACAGCUUGAGCUUGGCUAGGCAAUGAUUCAAAAACCAUGGGUACCACUAGGAGGACUGUAAUCAAAAUGACAAC